This 340-nucleotide transfer-messenger RNA is filed under the name Acholeplasmataceae. Its description in RNAcentral is "WOFB19 sp018622495 Standard tmRNA". It matches the Rfam family "transfer-messenger RNA". From Rfam's summary of the family: Bacterial tmRNA, also known as 10Sa RNA or SsrA, is named for its dual tRNA and mRNA-like properties. The record is from RNAcentral. RNAcentral also lists the same sequence under 1 other name. Lineage: Bacteria; Bacillati; Mycoplasmatota; Mollicutes; Acholeplasmatales.
GGGGAUGUUCUGGAUUCGUCACGGCAUGAAUACAACUAUAAGCAUGUCUUGGUUGCUCAAGUAAAAAAGCCGAGGUUUUUAAUAACCGGAAAUCAAAAUUUACAAUUCGCUGCCUAAGAAAAGGUAAGCACCUAUUUUGAGGAGGCUUGUGACUCAAAUGUGGUAUAAGAAAGCAAGAUAUAUUUACUGAGUGCCUAUAUUGGUAGAUGAAAACUUAUAGGAUAGUUUAUACAACUUUUGUUUAUUUAGUUUUAUAAAUGAAUUCAUAAAUGAACUAAACAUGUAGAAAGUAUUUGUUGCAGUGUCUUGCACAGGGGUUCAAUUCCCCUCAUCUCCACCA